This 665-nucleotide ribosomal RNA is filed under the name Rhinolophus yunanensis. Its description in RNAcentral is "partial 12S ribosomal RNA". It matches the Rfam family "Bacterial small subunit ribosomal RNA", at positions 5 to 1047 of the family's 1533-position model. Lineage: Eukaryota; Metazoa; Chordata; Mammalia; Chiroptera; Rhinolophidae. The record is from RNAcentral.
CAUGGCGAGGACCGGCCUUUCUGUUGGUUCUAGGUAAAACUACACAUGCAAGUAUCCGCACUCCAGUGAGAAUGCCCUCUAAAUCACACCUGAUUAAAAGGAGCGGGCAUCAAGCGCACUACAAAGUAGCUCAUAACGCCUUGCUUAACCACACCCCCACGGGAAACAGCAGUGAUAAAAAUUAAGCCAUGAACGAAAGUUUGACUAAGUUAUACCUACUCCUUAGGGUUGGUAAAUUUCGUGCCAGCCACCGCGGUCACACGAUUAACCCAAAUCAACAGAAACACGGCGUAAAGCGUGUUUAAGAACACAAGAAAAAUAAAGUUAAACUCUAGCUAAGCUGUAAAAAGCCAUAGCUAAAAUAAAAAUAGACCACGAAAGUGACUUUACAAAUUCUGAAUACACGAUAGCUAAGACCCAAACUGGGAUUAGAUACCCCACUAUGCUUAGCCCUAAACCUAAACAAUUAGCACAACAACAUUAUUCGCCAGAGUACUACUAGCAACAGCUUAAAACUCAAAGGACUUGGCGGUGCUUUAUACCCCUCUAGAGGAGCCUGUCCUAUAAUCGAUAGACCCCGAUAAACCUCACCAGCCCUUGCCAACUCAGCUUAUAUCCGGCAUCCUCAGCAAACCUAAAAAGGAGCCUUAGUAAGCACAAACAUA